Molecule: ribosomal RNA, 460 nt
Filed under: uncultured bacterium
Lineage: Bacteria
Description: partial 16S ribosomal RNA
Rfam family: Bacterial small subunit ribosomal RNA
Source: RNAcentral
CCUACGGGAGGCAGCAGUGAGGAAUAUUGGUCAAUGGACGCGAGUCUGAACCAGCCAAGUAGCGUGAAGGAUGACUGCCCUAUGGGUUGUAAACUUCUUUUAUAAAGGAAUAAAACGAGGCACGUGUGCCUUUUUGCAUGUACUUUAUGAAUAAGGAUCGGCUAACUCCGUGCCAGCAGCCGCGGUAAUACGGAGGAUCCGAGCGUUAUCCGGAUUUAUUGGGUUUAAAGGGAGCGUAGAUGGGUUGUUAAGUCAGUUGUGAAAGUUUGCGGCUCAACCGUAAAAUUGCAAUUGAUACUGGCAUUCUUGAGUACAGUUGAGGUAGGCGGAAUACGUGGUGUAGCGGUGAAAUGCUUAGAUAUCACGAAGAACCCCGAUUGCGAAGGCAGCUUACUAAACUGUUACUGACAUUGAUGCUCGAAAGUGUGGGUAUCAAACAGGAUUAGAUACCCCAGUAGUC